UGGGGAAUAUUGCACAAUGGGCGCAAGCCUGAUGCAGCCAUGCCGCGUGUGUGAAGAAGGCCUUCGGGUUGUAAAGCACUUUCAGCGAGGAGGAAGGUGGUGAACUUAAUACGUUCAUCAAUUGACGUUACUCGCAGAAGAAGCACCGGCUAACUCCGUGCCAGCAGCCGCGGUAAUACGGAGGGUGCAAGCGUUAAUCGGAAUUACUGGGCGUAAAGCGCACGCAGGCGGUUUGUUAAGUCGGAUGUGAAAUCCCCGGGCUCAACCUGGGAACUGCAUUUGAAACUGGCAAGCUAGAGUCUCGUAGAGGGGGGUAGAAUUCCAGGUGUAGCGGUGAAAUGCGUAGAGAUCUGGAGGAAUACCGGUGGCGAAGGCGGCCCCCUGGACGAAGACUGACGCUCAGGUGCGAAAGCGUGGGGCAGCAAACAGGAUUAGAUACCCUGGUAGUCCACGCUGUAAACGAUGUCGAUUUGGAGGUUGUGCCCUUGAGGCGUGGCUUCCGGAGCUAACGCGUUAAAUCGACCGCCUGGGGAGUACGGCCGCAAGGUUAAAACUUAAAUGAAUUGAC
This 568-nucleotide ribosomal RNA is filed under the name uncultured bacterium. RNAcentral describes it as "partial 16S ribosomal RNA". It matches the Rfam family "Bacterial small subunit ribosomal RNA", at positions 355 to 914 of the family's 1533-position model. The record is from RNAcentral.